This 449-nucleotide ribosomal RNA is filed under the name uncultured bacterium. RNAcentral's name for it is "partial 16S ribosomal RNA". It matches the Rfam family "Bacterial small subunit ribosomal RNA", at positions 29 to 523 of the family's 1533-position model. The record is from RNAcentral.
AACGAACGCUGGCGGCAUGCCUAAUACAUGCAAGUCGAACGAUCACUUCGGUGGUAGUGGCGCACGGGUGCGUAACGCGUGGGAAUCUGCCCUUGGGUUCGGAAUAACGUCGGGAAACUGACGCUAAUACCGGAUGAUGACGUAAGUCCAAAGAUUUAUCGCCCAGGGAUGAGCCCGCGUAGGAUUAGCUAGUUGGUGGGGUAAAGGCCUACCAAGGCGACGAUCCUUAGCUGGUCUGAGAGGAUGAUCAGCCACACUGGGACUGAGACACGGCCCGGACCCCGACGGGAGGAAGCAGUAGGGAAUAUUGGACAAUGGGGGCAACCUUGAUCCAGCAAUGCCGCGGGAGUGAUGAGGGCCUGAGGGUUGAAAAGCUCUUUUACCCGGGAUGAUAAGGCCAGUACCGGGAGAAUAAGCCCCGGCUAACUCCGUGCCAGCAGCCGCCGUAA